UACAGAGGUGGCAAGCGUUGUUCGGAAUUACUGGGCGUAAAGGGCGCGUAGGCGGUUCGUUAAGUCCUGUGUGAAAUCCCCCGGCUCAACUGGAGAACUGCACAGGAAACUAGCGGGCUUGAGUUCGGGAGAGGGAAGCGGAAUUCCGGGUGUAGCGGUGAAAUGCGUAGAUAUCCGGAGGAACACCGGUAGCGAAGGCGGCUUCCUGGACCGACACUGACGCUGAGGCGCGAAAGCUAGGGGAGCAAACGGG
Molecule: ribosomal RNA, 253 nt
Filed under: uncultured bacterium
Lineage: Bacteria
Description: partial 16S ribosomal RNA
Rfam family: Bacterial small subunit ribosomal RNA
Source: RNAcentral